Molecule: non-coding RNA, 172 nt
Organism: Betaproteobacteria bacterium
Lineage: Bacteria; Pseudomonadati; Pseudomonadota; Betaproteobacteria
Source: Rfam
UCGCGGGUGACUGCGAAUCUGAAGGAAGCUGUAGGCAAAGCGCUGGCCUGAGGUAUACGAAGCGAAUUUGAGGCGAACGUGCGGGGUGAGCAGGCAAAUAGCUGCGAAGCCCGAUACCUGUACGGAAGGCACGUGCGUACAUUCGACGGGCAUAAGCGUGAAGGUGAGUGUG